GCAGGGAUAGCUCAGUGGUAGAGUGACUGUUUAGCAUGUGCAAGGUCCUGGGUUCAAUCCCCAGUACCUUCA
RNAcentral lists this transfer RNA (72 nucleotides) under Camelus bactrianus (Bactrian camel). It matches the Rfam family "tRNA". Rfam says of the family: Transfer RNA (tRNA) molecules are approximately 80 nucleotides in length. Their secondary structure includes four short double-helical elements and three loops (D, anti-codon, and T loops). RNAcentral also lists the same sequence under 2 other names. The record is from Rfam by way of RNAcentral. Lineage: Eukaryota; Metazoa; Chordata; Mammalia; Artiodactyla; Camelidae.